ACCCUACAAAUCCCCUACAGGCUGCACCCUGCGCAGUUUCGCUCCCUCGCUGGACGCAGUCAACACCUCCACCCCGAUGCACAUCUCCAGACCCACCCUACGCACGCGCUUCUGAAUCCUCUUAUAGGGGAAAAAGGCAGCCGACCCUACAACUUCAAGCACCCCACAAAUCUGCGACCCCACAGCCGCACGCGGGACGUGCCCACCCCAAAUCCCGACCCCACACACUUAUUUAUUAUUUAUUGGUGCAAUAAAUUAAUGAGCAGCCUUCGUUAGCACCGAUUAAUUGGGUUGGUUUGGGACUGGGGGGGGGGUUGACCCUAUAGGAUGGCCCCAAAUAGCAUGGAUCACCCCAUAGACCCCAUAGGAUGGCUCAAAUCCCAAAUAUCACCCCAGAGACCCCAUAGGAUGGCCCCAAAUCCCAUAUAACACCCCAUAGAUCCCAUAGGAUGGCCCCAAAUCCCAUAUAAAACCCCAUAGACCCCAUAGGAUGGCCCCAAAUCCCAUAUAUCACCCCAUAGAUCCCAUAGGAUGGCCCCAAAUCCCAUAGAUGACCCCAAACCCCAUAGGAUGGACCCAAAUCCCAUAUAACAUCCCAUAGACCCCAUAGGAUGGCCCCAAAUCCCAUAUAAAACCCCAUAGACCCCAUAGAAUGGCCCCAAAUCCCAUAGAUGACCCCAUAGACCCCAUAGGAUGGCCCCAAAUCCCAUAUAACACCCCAUAGAUCCCAUAGGAUGGCUCCAAAUCCCAUAUAAAACCCCAUAGACCCCAUAGAAUGGCCUCAAAUCCCAUAUAAAACCCCAUAGACCCCAUAGGAUGGCCCCAAACCCCAUAGGAUGGCCCCAAAUCCCAUAGGAUGGUUCCAAAUCCCAUAUAAAACACCAUAGACCCCAUAGAAUGGCCCCAAAUCCCAUAGGAUGACCCCAAACCCCACAGAUCACCCCAGAGACCCCAUAGGAUGACACCAAAUCCCAUAAGAUGGCCCCAAAUUCCAUAGAUCACCCCAUAGACCCCAUAGAAUGGCCCCAAACCCCAUAGAAUGGCCCCAAAUCCCAUAGGAUGGUUCCAAAUCCCAUAUAACACCCCAUAGACCCCAUAGGAUGGCCCCAUAGACCCCAUAGGAUGGCCCCAAAUCCCAUAUAAAACACCAUAGACCCCAUAGGAUGGCCCCAAAUCCCAUAGGAUGGCCCCAAACCCCACAGAUCACCCCAGAGACCCCAUAGGAUGGCCCCAAACCCCAUAGAGGACCCCAUAGACCCCAUAGGAUGGCCCCAAA
RNAcentral lists this long non-coding RNA (1276 nucleotides) under Phasianus colchicus (ring-necked pheasant). Its description in RNAcentral is "lncRNA (ENSPCLG00000013634.1)". Lineage: Eukaryota; Metazoa; Chordata; Aves; Galliformes; Phasianidae. The record is from RNAcentral.